UACGUAGGGGGCAAGCGUUGUCCGGAUUUAUUGGGCGUAAAGAGCGUGUAGGCGGCCGUACAGGUCAGCUGUGAAAACUCGAGGCUCAACCUCGAGACGUCGGUUGAAACCGUACGGCUAGAGUCCGGAAGAGGAGAGUGGAAUUCCCGGUGUAGCGGUGAAAUGCGCAGAUAUCGGGAGGAACACCGGUGGCGAAGGCGGGACUCUGGGCCGAUACUGACGCUGAGGAGCGAAAGCGUGGGGAGCGAACAGG
This 253-nucleotide ribosomal RNA is filed under the name uncultured bacterium. RNAcentral describes it as "partial 16S ribosomal RNA". It matches the Rfam family "Bacterial small subunit ribosomal RNA", at positions 524 to 776 of the family's 1533-position model. The record is from RNAcentral.